Molecule: ribosomal RNA, 526 nt
Filed under: Argiope aetheroides
Lineage: Eukaryota; Metazoa; Arthropoda; Arachnida; Araneae; Araneidae
Description: SSU rRNA
Rfam family: Eukaryotic small subunit ribosomal RNA
Source: RNAcentral
ACGAGGAUCCAUUGGAGAGCAAGUCUGGUGCCAGCAGUCGCGGUAAUUCCAGCUCCAAUAGCGUAUAUUAAAGUUGUUGCGGUUAAAAAGCUCGUAGUUGGAUCUCAGCUCCGGCCGGGCGGUCCGCCUACCGGUGGUCACUGCUCGCUGCCGAGCGUUCAGGGGGCUCUCGCAGAUGAUCUUCACCGGUUGUCUGCGGGGACCCUCACGUUUACUUUGAAAAAAUUAGAGUGCUCAAAGCAGGCGCGACGCCUGAAUAAUUGUGCAUGGAAUAAUGGAAUAGGACCUCGGUUCUAUUUUGUUGGUUUUCGGAACACGAGGUAAUGAUUAAGAGGGACAGACGGGGGCAUUCGUAUUGCGACGCUAGAGGUGAAAUUCUUGGACCGUCGCAAGACGAACUACUGCGAAAGCAUUUGCCAAGAAUGUUUCCAUUAAUCAAGAACGAAAGUUAGAGGUUCGAAGGCGAUCAGAUACCGCCCUAGUUCUAACCAUAAACGAUGCCAGCCAGCGAUCCGGCUGCGUUCCU